RNAcentral lists this ribosomal RNA (956 nucleotides) under uncultured Aeromonadaceae bacterium. RNAcentral describes it as "bacterial SSU rRNA". The stretch from base 1 to 751 matches the Rfam family "Bacterial small subunit ribosomal RNA", at positions 29 to 873 of the family's 1533-position model. Lineage: Bacteria; Pseudomonadati; Pseudomonadota; Gammaproteobacteria; Aeromonadales; Aeromonadaceae. The record is from RNAcentral.
AUGAACGCUGACAGAAUGCUUAACACAUGCAAGUCAACUUGAAUUUGGGUUUUUAACUUAGAUUUGGGUGGCGGACGGGUGAGUAACGCGUAAAGAACUUGCCUCACAGCUAGGGACAACAUUUAGAAAUGAAUGCUAAUACCUGAUAUUAUGAUUUUAAGGCAUCUUAGAAUUAUGAAAGCUAUAAGCACUGUGAGAGAGCUUUGCGUCCCAUUAGCUAGUUGGAGAGGUAACAGCUCACCAAGGCGAUGAUGGGUAGCCGGCCUGAGAGGGUGAACGGCCACAAGGGGACUGAGACACGGCCCUUACUCCUACGGGAGGCAGCAGUGGGGAAUAUUGGACAAUGGACCGAGAGUCUGAUCCAGCAAUUCUGUGUGCACGAUGAAUUUUUUUCGGAACGUUUAGUGCUUUCAGUUGGGAAGAAAUAAAUGACGGUACCAACAGAAGAAGUGACGGCUAAAUACGUGCCAGCAGCCGCGGUGAUACGUAUGUCACGAGCGUUAUCCGGAUUUAUUGGGGUGAAGCGUGUCUAGGUUUGUUUGUAAGUCUGAUGUGAAAAUGCAGGGCUCAACUCUGUGUUGCGUUGGAAAUUGUGUUUUUAGAGUUCUGGAGAGGGAAGCGGAACUACAGUGUGGAUGUGUAAAUCUGUGUUUUUGUUGGAUGCUGAGGGGAAUCCUGCUUGCUGGACUGUGCUGACGCUGUGGGUAGAUGGCGUGUGCGAUGUGACGUGUAUGAGUGUGCCAGGUUGGCCAAUGAAGUAAUUGGAGACGGAUUGUGAUUGUUUGUGGAUUGCGUGGCCGGUAGUGUGCGGCUGUGUGACUAAAAAAUAAAGUGCCUGUAUAUUGAUGAUAUGAUAGUGUGUGUGCGCUGCAAUGCGCGUAGCGUGUGUGUGUGUGUGUGAUUGAUGGUGAUAUGUCAUGGCUGUGCCAGCUGUGCUCCCCGCCCUUCUUGUACUG